RNAcentral lists this ribosomal RNA (192 nucleotides) under Triticum aestivum (bread wheat). Its description in RNAcentral is "partial small subunit ribosomal RNA". The record is from RNAcentral. Lineage: Eukaryota; Viridiplantae; Streptophyta; Magnoliopsida; Poales; Poaceae.
AUGGAGAUACACGAACUGAACAAGUUGGCCAAAGAAUCAUACUACCCUCAACAUAUAAUGGUAGCCCUAGAAAUAAGCAGCAAAACUACCAAGAUGCCAUGGCGAUUUGUCGUUGGGCUGGCUAUCCUGAUCUCUUCAUCACUUUUACAUGCAAUCCGAAAUGGCCGGAAAUACAGGAUAUGCUGGAUCUGA